RNAcentral lists this ribosomal RNA (255 nucleotides) under uncultured bacterium. Its description in RNAcentral is "partial 16S ribosomal RNA". It matches the Rfam family "Bacterial small subunit ribosomal RNA", at positions 524 to 777 of the family's 1533-position model. The record is from RNAcentral.
UACGUAGGCAGCAAACGUUGUUCGGAAUUACUGGGCGUAAAGAGUGUGUAGGCGGUUCUGUAAGUUUGGUGUGAAAUCUCCCGCUUAACUGGGAGGGUGCGCCGAAAACUGCAAGGCUUGAGUGCUGGAGAGGAUAGCGGAAUUCCUGGUGUAGCGGUGAAAUGCGCAGAUAUCAGGAAGAACACCCGUGGCGAAAGCGGCUCUCUGGAACGGUACUGACGCUGAGACGCGAAAAGCGUGGGGGAGCGAACAGGG